Molecule: non-coding RNA, 30 nt
Filed under: Macaca fascicularis (crab-eating macaque)
Lineage: Eukaryota; Metazoa; Chordata; Mammalia; Primates; Cercopithecidae
Also listed under: 1 other name
Source: RNAcentral
UGGCAGUGUUGAUCAAAGGACAACCUUGGU